UGGGGAAUCUUCCGCAAUGGACGAAAGUCUGACGGAGCAACGCCGCGUGAGUGAAGAAGGUUUUCGGAUCGUAAAGCUCUGUCUUCAGGGACGAACGUGCUUUAGAUAAAUAAUCUGAAGUAAUGACGGUACCUGAGGAGGAAGCCACGGCUAACUACGUGCCAGCAGCCGCGGUAAUACGUAGGUGGCAAGCGUUGUCCGGAAUUAUUGGGCGUAAAGCGCGCGCAGGCGGGAUGGUAAGUCUAACUUAAAAGUGCGGGGCUCAACUCCGUGAGGGGUUGGAAACUACCAUUCUUGAGUGCAGGAGAGGAAAGUGGAAUUCCUAGUGUAGCGGUGAAAUGCGUAGAUAUUAGGAGGAACACCAGUGGCGAAGGCGACUUUCUGGACUGUGUCUGACGCUGAGGCGCGAAAGCCAGGGGAGUGAACGGG
This 429-nucleotide ribosomal RNA is filed under the name uncultured prokaryote. RNAcentral describes it as "bacterial SSU rRNA". It matches the Rfam family "Bacterial small subunit ribosomal RNA", at positions 355 to 776 of the family's 1533-position model. RNAcentral also lists the same sequence under 1 other name. The record is from RNAcentral.